AGCGAACGCUGGCGGCAGGCCUAACACAUGCAAGUCGAACGAACUCUUCGGAGUUAGUGGCGGACGGGUGAGUAACACGUGGGAACGUGCCUUUUGGUUCGGAAUAACUCAGGGAAACUUGUGCUAAUACCGAAUGUGCCCUUCGGGGGAAAGAUUUAUCGCCAUUAGAGCGGCCCGCGUCUGAUUAGCUAGUUGGUGAGGUAACGGCUCACCAAGGCGACGAUCAGUAGCUGGUCUGAGAGGAUGACCAGCCACACUGGGACUGAGACACGGCCCAGACUCCUACGGGAGGCAGCAGUGGGGAAUCUUGCGCAAUGGGCGAAAGCCUGACGCAGCCAUGCCGCGUGAAUGAUGAAGGUCUUAGGAUUGUAAAAUUCUUUCACCGGGGACGAUAAUGACGGUACCCGGAGAAGAAGCCCCGGCUAACUUCGAG
Molecule: ribosomal RNA, 433 nt
Filed under: uncultured bacterium
Lineage: Bacteria
Description: partial 16S ribosomal RNA
Rfam family: Bacterial small subunit ribosomal RNA
Source: RNAcentral